Molecule: ribosomal RNA, 490 nt
Filed under: uncultured bacterium
Lineage: Bacteria
Description: partial 16S ribosomal RNA
Rfam family: Bacterial small subunit ribosomal RNA
Source: RNAcentral
AGUGAACGCUGGCGGUAGGCCUAACACAUGCAAGUCGAACGGCAGCACAGGAGAGCUUGCUCUCUAGGUGGCGAGUGGCGGACGGGUGAGGAAUACAUCGGAAUCUGCCCAGUCGUGGGGGAUAACGUAGGGAAACUUACGCUAAUACCGCAUACGACCUUCGGGUGAAAGAGGGGGAUCGCAAGACCUCUCGCGAUUGGAUGAGCCGAUGUCGGAUUAGCUAGUUAGCGGGGUAAUGGCCCACCAAGGCGACGAUCCGUAGCUGGUCUGAGAGGAUGAUCAGCCACACUGGAACUGAGACACGGUCCAGACUCCUACGGGAGGCAGCAGUGGGGAAUAUUGGACAAUGGGCGCAAGCCUGAUCCAGCCAUACCGCGUGGGUGAAGAAGGCCUUCGGGUUGUAAAGCCCUUUUGCUGGGAAAGAAAUCUUUCAGGCUAAUACCCUGGGAGGAUGACGGUACCCAAAGAAUAAGCACCGGCUAACUUCGUG